This 166-nucleotide ribosomal RNA is filed under the name uncultured bacterium. RNAcentral's name for it is "partial 16S ribosomal RNA". It matches the Rfam family "Bacterial small subunit ribosomal RNA", at positions 1335 to 1500 of the family's 1533-position model. The record is from RNAcentral.
CUAGUAAUCGCGAAUCAGAAUGUCGCGGUGAAUACGUUCCCGGGUCUUGUACACACCGCCCGUCACACCAUGAGAGUUGGCAACACCCGAAACCUGUGGGCUAACCGAAAGGAGGCAGCAGUCUAAGGUGGGGUCAGUGAUUGGGGUGAAGUCGUAACAAGGUAGC